RNAcentral lists this ribosomal RNA (494 nucleotides) under uncultured bacterium. RNAcentral describes it as "partial 16S ribosomal RNA". It matches the Rfam family "Bacterial small subunit ribosomal RNA", at positions 28 to 507 of the family's 1533-position model. The record is from RNAcentral.
GACGAACGCUGGCGGCGUGCUUAACACAUGCAAGUCGAACGGAAAGGCCUGCUUUCCCUUGUGGAUUGCGGGUACUCGAGUGGCGAACGGGUGAGUAACACGUGAGUGAUCUGCCCCCAACUUGGGUAUAAGCCUGGGAAACUGGGUCUAAUUCCCGAUAGGACUGCAGGGUGGUGCCUGUGGUGGAAAACGAUUUUCUAGUGGUUGGGGAUGAGCUCGCGGCCUAUCAGCUUGUUGGUGGGGUAAUGGCCUACCAAGGCGGCGACGGGUAGCCGGCCUGAGAGGGUGGACGGCCACAUUGGGACUGAGAUACGGCCCAGACUCCUACGGGAGGCAGCAGUGGGGAAUAUUGCACAAUGGGCGGAAGCCUGAUGCAGCGACGCCGCGUGGGGGAUGUCGGCCUUCGGGUUGUAAACUCCUUUCGACCGCGAGGAAGCCACCUGGUUGGAAGGGUGGUGACGGUAGCGGUAGAAGAAGCACCGGCUAACUACGUG